GAAGUGAUCCGCGCGGUCUCAAACUAACUUGAUACUGAAACCGGGCGCCUGUCAAAAGUGUCAGCGAGUGAAAUAAACAGCCGGUCGACGUUUCAAUCCACCAGAUAACAUUAUUCGCUAGAUCUGGAAUUAUUUUGGACGGAUGUUCCUCUACGUAUCGACCACCGCGUCCACAUUUGUCGCGUGUUGUGAAGAUCCAGUGAGCGGUGGCUGUGUCAGGCGCCCGGCUGCAGGCGGCCCCCUCAAUGGUUUCUCCCACCAUGAAGGCUCUGGUGGAUGCUGUGUGGGCGGUAUGGAGCAUCGGGGCCUCCAUCUAUGACUACAUCCACACUAGCGCCAUGGAGGAGCGUAUACACACGCUGGAGAAGGUUACCAGCAUCCACCAGUGUGCCAUUGGGCUGCUGUCGGCGGCCAUCUUGGUGCUCUUCUCUUACAUCUUCGUCAAGAAGAUUUGAGAGUGAAGCAGACUAUGAGGAUUCAAAUUAUGUUGCAAGGCUGAACAACUCCUGCUGAUUAAAGAACAUGCAACCUGCACUUCUUCAAACCGCACUCAGAGGUGUCCAGUCUGCAGGAGUGUGUAUUUGGAGGUGAACCUCUCCACGCUUUCGCCCUCCAGAAACUUCAUGGCCCUCCAGUGGAUCUUGCCACAAUUCUCUGGCUGCCCGAGGGGUCCCAUCUCCUCCUGGAUGUACUCCAGCCACAGAUCUUGACAAUCGCACAGGUCAACAUGGAAAAAGAAUGCUCAGAUCAACUCAAAAUUAGAAACUAUAGUGGUACUUCAGCGUAUGAGCACUUCCCGUUAAGAGUUAGUUACGAGUGCCAACUAUGGUGAAAGCAAACUUCACAACAAACAGAAGUUUUGUGAUAAUGAACAAUUCUUCCAAAAAGAUGCAAUGUGCUUGCAUCAAGCUGUUUAUUGCCACUCACAGUUGAAUUUUACUGUCAAACUAAACAUAAAACAAAUAGAAUGACAAGUUGUGUAUUUAAUCGAAGCACAUUAACUUGUCUUAUAAAAGUUUGCUUAAUGCUAGCACUCAAUGCAAAACGCCAUACUGGCUAUUAUUGUGGCACUUCUAAUACUUUAAACAACUUGUAUUUGAUCGCAAGCAGACAGAUCGUGCACCAAUGGUCACAGGCACAUAUUCUUUAUCCUCUAGGAAAAACAACUGAUUUCAUUGCACUUUCGUUGAGACUGUCUUCCGUUUCAACCGACAUCAAGUUCCGUAUGCCUGUUAUAUACUGCCCCCUGGUGGCCAACAUGAACAAACCAAAAUGAGUAGCAUACUGCAUAUUGAUUUGUCACGAUGCGCAUAUUCAUUACAUUCUAUUCAUGGACAUUAUUACUAUGAUUUGACAGAGAAAAAUAGGAUAUGCGACAAGAUAGCACACAACCCGUAAAAACGGUCAAAAAUCUCGACGCUUCUGCUGAUUCACACACUUGCCCCUCAAUACUUGGAGCUUCCUAUUUUGCCCCUUUUUUUGCGGACUAUGCUCCACACUUUCAGUUCAAAAAUAGAAAAAAUAUUGUAAUAUCGCUCCAACAAGUAUGCUUCCAUCUCUGUUGGAACAAAUUGGGGAAGGAUGUUUUGUGCUCCACUGAAUAAGUCCUUUCAGGGACAGUGGUUACUACAGUGGACACCUUAUCAUGUUAUCAGGUUACCGGUUAUUAUUAUUUGUGCAUGAAAAGGUUAAAUAGGUUAAAAAAAAGGGUGUGGAAGCCAACAUCGCAGGGACCAACUCCUUGUUUUCUCACAUUUUCACUUUCUGUUUGUGUAAUAGCCACAGGUCCCAAUUUUUUUUUCAUCCAUGGCAUCCCCCUGGUUUGCUUAUUAACCAUUAUCUGUUUAAAUAACAAUUUUAAAUAAUGUGAUAAUGACAUCUUGAAAAUAAAUGGUUGGACUGACAGUACAGUGCCUGAUGGACUAUUUGACCCAAAGGCAUCUCACCUUCAUCAGAGGAGCCGAACUCUUGCAGGACCCUCUCGUAGUAGUCCCUCAGAUUGUCCAUCUUUGGGGUCUCCUGCAUUAACGACGUCAUGUUAACUCAAAUCUCAAAACCUCUGCCUUUUUUUUCACCCUCCCAGCAUUUAGGCCUACUUCACUACUGUAUGUUAAUGUUGGUUAUAAUGGUGGAACUUGGGAGAGCCACAUUUUUUUAGGUUGUACUUGGUGUAAAAUGUUUGAGAACCAUCUGAAGAAUGACUGACUCAAGUGUGUUUUGCUUUUUGUGAUGUCUGGAUACAAGGGCACCGGUGAUGGCAAAAAUCAGAAAUGAAAGUUUUGUACCAUAGUAUAUGAGCAAUCAAGUUCCUGAAAUAUCAAGUCAUCACUCCUCAUGAUGUUUCCAUCAGGCCUUCCUUUCCAAAGGGUGAGUGGUUUUACUUUAUUUUUGUUUUGUUCUACACCAAUGAAGUUAUUGUUACACUUGUAUAAUAGUUAAGAAACGUUACCAUGUCAUUUAAAAAAAUACCAUCGAUCAUUGUUAAAGGUUUUAUGAUGCUGACAGUUAAACCCUGAACAAAUGUAUUGAUUUUACCUCAUUUCCUGGCCAAAAUUGUUUGGAAAUGAACCAGCAAUGAGAUGGAUUUUGGGGUUGCCAGGCUUUAAAGCUCACUUUCUAAAUUAUAUGACAGUAUUUAAUGCACUCACUUGUUCUUUUUCAAUCUGUAUCAUUUUGGUGAAGAACGUUUUGGAUAGCGGUCGGUUCUCCUGUAAACUAAAACACACACACGUUAUUCCGCCCUUUAUAGUCUUCAAUUUACACAAUUGCGAAGCGCACUUAACUUACCUUGUGAAAGUCUUUCUCGCUUUCUUGUAUCCCCCGGUGGUGUAUGACCAAUCAACGUAGCUUUCUUUCAUCUCCAUGGCAACUGCGGGCACCGCAGACGAAAGACCUCUCUGAGAACAAGCGGGGAAGAACAAAGUGUCCCACAAAAGUAUUAUCAUCAUCGUCAUUGCAUGAGCGCUAAUGACUGCUCAGUGUGGAUCGCCAUGUCUGGUGGAUUUGAUUUGAACCUUGAAAAUGGCCUCCGUCUCCUCUGGAUUCUGGUUGGCGAUGCUCCACUGUAUCUGCAGCCGCCAAAUUGGGUCAUGGCGGAGCUGGAGUCGAUCCCGGCAAACUACAUCCCAGGCAAGUCAAGCCCACGCCAGAUGCUUAAAAGUCAGCUAUGUGAAGCACUCUAGCAGCAGUUAUCUAGAACCAAAUUAUGGAUAAUAAAUCUGAUUUUGUUGAUUGUAAUACUUUAUUGCUUUCUAUUUAUGACUUAGAAGCGAACGUGGUUAUUAUCAUAGCGUGUAUUUCUCAUAGUUUUACGUUGAGUUUGACAGUGGAGGCAUUUCAAGAUGCCUGGUGGUUUAAUGCCUUCUCAAGUUGCACCAAGUGUUGUAAUCUUCCUCACGCUGUUUCUCCUCACGGCUCAAGUCUCAUCAAAAGCCGGGCUUAAGAAGAAUAAAUUAUUUUCUUGACUAUAUGAGUUUGUCUACGGUGGUCAAGUUUUAAUAUAGUUCAUAAUAAGUUUCAUUCCUUCUGAGAAUUCAUUUUUUUAGGGUUGGUUCAUCUCGCCUACUGUUUUUCACAAGGACUAAGGGGAAAGUCAAAAGGAUGUAGUGGCGGUUAGUUUGAGCGAGG
Molecule: long non-coding RNA, 3627 nt
Organism: Hippocampus zosterae (dwarf seahorse)
Lineage: Eukaryota; Metazoa; Chordata; Actinopteri; Syngnathiformes; Syngnathidae
Exons: 4
Source: RefSeq, a predicted model, not a curated record